UACGUAGGGGGCAAGCGUUGUCCGGAUUUAUUGGGCGUAAAGAGCGUGUAGGCGGCUAGGUAGGUCCGUUGUGAAAACUCGAGGCUCAACCUCGAGACGCCGGUGGAAACCAUCUAGCUAGAGUCCGGAAGAGGAGAGUGGAAUUCCUGGUGUAGCGGUGAAAUGCGCAGAUAUCAGGAGGAACACCAAUAGCGAAGGCAGCUCGCUGGGACGGUACUGACGCUGAGGUGCGAAAGCGUGGGGAGCAAACAGG
Molecule: ribosomal RNA, 253 nt
Filed under: uncultured bacterium
Lineage: Bacteria
Description: partial 16S ribosomal RNA
Rfam family: Bacterial small subunit ribosomal RNA
Source: RNAcentral